Molecule: non-coding RNA, 144 nt
Organism: Aspergillus leporis
Lineage: Eukaryota; Fungi; Ascomycota; Eurotiomycetes; Eurotiales; Aspergillaceae
Source: the annotation of a GenBank genome assembly
GCCAUCGUGGCGCAAUCGGUAGCGCGUGAGACUGUAAGGCCAAUCACAUCUGAAGAUCAGACCUUAUCAUCAAUACUAAUUCCUAUUCCAGUCUAUUAUCAAAUAGUCAUCUCAAGGUUGCGGGUUCGAGCCCCGCCGGAGGCU